RNAcentral lists this ribosomal RNA (253 nucleotides) under uncultured bacterium. RNAcentral describes it as "partial 16S ribosomal RNA". It matches the Rfam family "Bacterial small subunit ribosomal RNA", at positions 524 to 776 of the family's 1533-position model. The record is from RNAcentral.
UACGGGGGGGGCAAGCGUUGUUCGGAAUUACUGGGCGUAAAGGGCGCGUAGGCGGUUUGUUAAGUUGGAUGUGAAAACUCUGGGCUUAACCCAGAGCCUGCAUCCAAAACUAGCAGACUAGAGUUCUGGAGGGGAUAGCGGAAUUCCUGGUGUAGCGGUGAAAUGCGUAGAUAUCGGGAGGAACACCAGUGGCGAAGGCGGCUUCCUGGACCUGUUCUGACACUGAGGAGCGAAAGCGUGGGGAGCGAUCCGG